GUGGCCGAGUGGUUAAGGCGAUGGACUCGAAAUCCAUUGGGGUCUCCCCUUUUAUUACUCAAAGGUUCGAAUCCUUCGUUACA
Caerostris darwini is the source of this 83-nucleotide non-coding RNA. Lineage: Eukaryota; Metazoa; Arthropoda; Arachnida; Araneae; Araneidae. The record is from the annotation of a GenBank genome assembly.